Molecule: long non-coding RNA, 532 nt
Organism: Engraulis encrasicolus (European anchovy)
Lineage: Eukaryota; Metazoa; Chordata; Actinopteri; Clupeiformes; Engraulidae
Exons: 5
Source: RefSeq, a predicted model, not a curated record
UACAUUCGGCAACGCACCAGCUGUCAUGCCGCCUCACUGUUGUGUGCCCAAAUGUUCGUCCUCAAAGAGAAAAAAAUCCUACCGUGGACAGACUUUCCACCGUUUCCCCAAAGAGCAGGCACUUCGCCGUGAAUGUAUAAAUCACAUCAAGAGGGAUCCUGGUCCAUAUUUCAAGAUCAACGCUGAGACCAAGGUUUGCUCUGAGCACUUUGAGAAGCAGUGUUUUGUAAAGACCGCCCGUGGUAUCACAAAGCUUAUAAAGGAUGCCGUGCCACUUUGUUCGCCUGGACUUCAGAGAGGCCAAAGAGGAGAAUCAUCAUUCGCAGACCGAGAGAUGAUGACCCAUUCCUGAAGUUGGACGCCAGAAUGGAGGAAGGUGCUGUUUAAGAGCCUAGGCGGUGGAAGAAGCACUUGCAGGUAUGCUACUAACCAGGCUCCUCAACAUCAAUCCGAGACGGAAGAUGAACCGGGAUGAAGCGGUUAGAUUGAGACAAGGCGGCCGGAAACUUUGAUGACCUCAAUGACACUGGCU